Molecule: long non-coding RNA, 1527 nt
Filed under: Takifugu rubripes (torafugu)
Lineage: Eukaryota; Metazoa; Chordata; Actinopteri; Tetraodontiformes; Tetraodontidae
Description: lncRNA (ENSTRUG00000029467.1)
Source: RNAcentral
AAACCGGGUUCUGGUGCCGAUUCCUGAUAAAUGACCUCUGCACUCGUGCGUGUGCGUGUGUGUGUAGAGUGUGUGUGACGUCAGCUCACACGUGAUCCUCCUAUUCUGUCGACUGUCUCUUCAGAUCGUCAUCAUCAGGAACCAUCAGGCGGUUCUUUGCUUCCUCUGGAAUUAUGGGCUGUUUGGACGCUGCGGCCCUUCCGCGCGCCCCCUCUUCCGCGCGCCUCCUCUUCCGUGCACCGCCUCUAAUCCACCUGCAGGCGUGAGAGAAGGCUGAUCCUGCGCGCACGCGCACUCGCGCAUGUGCCCGUCCUGCAGGACUUCAUCAGAUUACAACAUCCGAAAACUUGCGCAGCCGAACCGGGGCUCUAAGUAAAGCCGCCGCCGCGCUGCGUGCGCGCCGCCAGGGGGCGCGCUCGCGGACUCGCGCACUCGCGGAGCGUCGCUGCUACAGAACCCCCCUCAGAAGCCGCUGCACACACUCGGACCAACACGGCCGCAGAUCCCCGGACAGCAUGUUCUGCAGACGGGCAUGGCAGAGGGUCGCGCCCCUGACGCGGAGGACGUUCGAACCCGCAACCAGAAACGUUCGGGCGCGGAAAAUGUCUUUCGGGGUUCCUGGUGGCUCCUUCAACACCACAUACUUUGUCCUGUGUGGGGGGGGGCUCACAGCUGCCCUCGUCUACGCCUACAAGACCAUCAACAGUGAUACAGAACGCUAUGAGAACAGACUCGCCAGUAUGGGCUCCACAGCUAAGGGUCAGUUCUAACACACACACACACGCACACACACACACACACACACACCCUGAGCAUAAACUAUGGCUUCACAUUUCCUAGUGUGCUCAUUUUGAGCGCCUCGCUUACAUUCAAGGGUUGGGGCUAACACAGGAACCCUCAAAGUUAAAAGUUUAGAAGAAGAGUGACCACGGAGACGGAGCGUCGGCCUUCAGAACGCUCCGAUGAAGGCAGCAGCCUUUGAGGGUGAAACCACGGUGGGAUGACCAGUCUCAAUAGCUUCAUCCUGCCUGUCUGUUUCGAUAUCUGUCUGAAAAUGAUGAGUCUGUUCAGCCAGUGUGGACCCAGGGACGCCGUGGCGCUGGGCCCAGGACGCCGUGGCGCUGGGCCCAGGGACGCCGUGGCUCUGAGCCCAGGCUACCAGCUCGCCGGUCAUUGGCAGAAUCGGCUGCUGUUCCUGGGUCAGGGUACAUUCUGCCUCAAAGUUUAGGUUUGGUCUCAAAUGGGCCGCGAAUGUGCUGCCUUUACUUUCAACUGCCCAGUGCCCGUAUGAUAUAAGCAAGGAAAUCUGGUCAGGAAAUGUUUGCAGAAACACCUUGAUGAACGCGGUGAUAAUUGAUCAUAAUCAGGGUUCAGACUGUCCUUAAAACAUCUAAACAUAAAGCAGCCUGAACACGUCAUCACUGACCACCACAGAUGAAAGAUGAAGAAAUAAACUAAAUAAUUAUAAUAAAAUCAUCCAGUUUUCAGUUCACAUACCAGAUGGCAUGAGCGUGCGCUAAUGGACUU